This 85-nucleotide transfer RNA is filed under the name compost metagenome. Its description in RNAcentral is "tRNA-Leu". It matches the Rfam family "tRNA". From Rfam's summary of the family: Transfer RNA (tRNA) molecules are approximately 80 nucleotides in length. The record is from RNAcentral.
GCGGAUGUGGCGGAACUGGUAGACGCCUCGGUUUUAGGUACCGAUAUCGAAAGAUCUAAGCGUUCGAGUCUCUUCAUGCGCACCA